AGCGAACGCUGGCGGCAGGCUUAACACAUGCAAGUCGAGCGGGCCCUUCGGGGUCAGCGGCAGAAGGGUGAGUAACACGUGGGAACGUACCCUUUGGUUCGGAAUAACGCUGGGAAACUAGCGCUAAUACCGGAUACGACCUUUUGGGGAAAGGCUUGCUGCCGAAGGAUCGGCCCGCGUCUGAUUAGCUAGUUGGUGGGGUAAUGGCCUACCAAGGCGACGAUCAGUAGCUGGUCUGAGAGGAUGAUCAGCCACACUGGGACUGAGACACGGCCCAGACUCCUACGGGAGGCAGCAGUGGGGAAUAUUGGACAAUGGGCGCAAGCCUGAUCCAGCCAUGCCGCGUGAGUGAUGAAGGCCUUAGGGUUGUAAAGCUCUUUUGUCCGGGACGAUAAUGACGGUACCGUAAGAAUAAGCCCCGGCUAACUUCGUG
RNAcentral lists this ribosomal RNA (433 nucleotides) under uncultured bacterium. RNAcentral's name for it is "partial 16S ribosomal RNA". It matches the Rfam family "Bacterial small subunit ribosomal RNA", at positions 29 to 507 of the family's 1533-position model. The record is from RNAcentral.